UUCUCUCUCUCUCACGUCCGAAACCACCCAAAACAGAGCAAAACUUCUCCAAACUCUCUCUCACUCCACCGGCCACCAAUCAAGACCAGAACACUUCCUAUAGCUUCGCCUCGACCUUGCGCAGCUGCAGGUGGCAGCCUUGAACCACGACACGGCCACCAGCGGCGGCGGGAAGCUCCGCCCGGUUUGAGCUCGUUUUGGUUCCAAGCUUGAUAUCUCAAGCUACCGGCCAACAAUCCUCACCAAACUUCACCCACGAGCUCGCCUCAACGUCCUGAAGCUCCCAGAAGUGGCCUUGCACGGCGGCGCUACUCGUGGUGGCGGCUGGAAGCCAGACCCGAUCAAAUCGAAAACCGAAGCUUCGAUCGGUAUAUCUCGAGCUGUAGUGCAUCGUUUUGAUUGAUUCUUUUUCCAGUGGGUUCCCCUUGAUGUUGUUAACAACUCUCUAGAAGGCAUCGAGGCCUGAAAUUGAAGUUUUUACGUCGAUCGGAGCCCUCGCCGGAUUCUGCAAAAUUCUGCAAAUUUUCCGACCACCGAAGCUUUCGAUCGGUAUAUCUCGAGCUACAGACCAUAUUUUUCUGUGAUUCUUGAACCAAUGCGUUCGUCUUGAGUUUCUUAACAACUCUCUAGAAGGAAUCGAAGCCUGAAAUUGAAGUUUUGACGUCGAAAUCAAGCCUUGCCGGAUUCUGCAAAUUUCGCCGGAUUCUGGAAAUUUUCCGGCCACCUCGACUGUUCUAGGUUAUUGACGGUUUGAGUUGGUGGACGAUUGUGGAUCGUAUUUUGAGCUGAAUUGAAGACGCAGCGGGAUUAUCGAGCGGGAAAUCCUACAGGUCAGGAGAACCAGGACGGUGAUCGGGCUGCUUAGAGUAGUGUUAUGUGAAUUACAGCAUUAUAUUGUGAGGUUUGUUAUGCUCAUUUAGAGCUUUGCAAUUUUACUUUGUAAGAGUGAAUUGUAAUAAUUAACUCGAGGUUUUCGAGUUUUUGUGUUGAGUGGCGAGUGGUAUGUUUGUUUGUGAGAAAAAAAUUCAGAACGUUAUUUGUAUUAAUUGUUUAUUCAUGUUUCGGAUUUGAAUUGGUUAUUCAAAAUUCGGGGCGUGACAGUUUGGUAUCAGAGCGUAAGGUACAUAUUUGGUGACGUGUCAAUACCUUCCGAGUGAUGGCCCGUCUGCAGCGGAUCCCCAUCGUGCGCUCUUCGGUAUUGGCUAAGUCAUUGGGUAUGUGUGAGUGUUGGAAGUUGUUUAGGCCGCUAAGUCGUUUUAGGAACGUUAACACCUUCCCUGUAGUAUUGACUUGGUUAAUAUGGACUUGUAUUUGACUUAUACUGUGUUUUAAGUGUUAUACGUGUAUUAGCCAAGCAUACUAUAUUUCUUAGGUGUUGAAUAUUCGAAGGAGUAGUACUUAGAACUACAGAGUUGUCUUGUAGGUUCGUAUUUGAAUAAGUUCAGUUACCGCGAGUUAUAAUCUUUAAGGGAUGGAAACCUUCGGAUUUAACUCUAUUGAGUUAGGGUGAUUGUUUUAUGGAAGUGAGGUUCUUUUGGAUGUUGAGGUGUUUGGUUGAAGGCAUGAUGUUGGCCUAUGCACGUACCUAGUGUGGAUACGAGUAUGAAUUGAUGGAAUUUUUGCCUUAUUAGGUUGGAUAUACAGAUGUUUUUGAUUUGAUUCUUGACUCAUGUGGAGUGGUGGGUAGUAUUGCGGUUUGGGAAUGAAUUAUUGUGGUUAAUUCUUCCAUGUGUUUGUAAGUUGAUGAGCAGGGUUUAAGUUGUGAGAAAGGAGUUUGAUCUCGUGUUUGAGUGAUUGAGACGAACGACUAUAUAUUUGAGGUUGUUUUGUGUUUUAAGUUUAUGUAGACGGGACACUUAAAGUUUUGAAAUAGAGUUUGAUUUUUAGUUGAUAGAUAAUGGGGAGAAUUAGAAUCAACUCUUUGUUAAUGAUCUUGGACGAGAGUGUGUUUCUAUGGUUAUGGAUUUUAGGUGAAAUGGUUAAAUACAAUUUUGGGUAUUGAUGAUAGUGACAUGAUUGGGUAUCCAUAGUGGUUCAAGUGAAUUACUAUGCGGUAUGGAGUUGAUUCGACGUAUGAAUCGUGAAAUCUUAGGGUUGAAUUAUGGUAAGUUUGAUGGAGCAUGUUUUAGAGGGAAUGGUUGAGAUUUUAUAAGACUAGCACGAGUAACUCUAAGGAUGUGAGUUUUCCUAGUUAACUCAGGAAGUGUUUAGCUUUAUUAAUCCCUAAUUCUAGCGACGAAAUUAUUGUGUUUGGUUUGACUCAGAGGAUACUAGCUUGACCUCUGUGCAACUUAAUUGAUUGUUUGUGAUAAAUCAUUAUGAAAGAUGUGUGCAGUAGAGUUGUUUAUGGUUUUGAAAACAGUAUUGGGUGACCAAGGUUCGAUCCUUGGUGUUGUUGUUGGUUAAACAAACAGGAAAGAAAACAUGCACACCAUCUUAUUGAGUUUAUAUUACAAAAAAAAAAAAAAAAAAAAAAAGAAAAAAAAAAAGCGAGGACUAUGCUAUACUAAGCCUAGUCAGCAGCUCCGGAUGGGUUGAGGCUGAGCUCAAGAGAAACGUUUGAGCCACUGUGGUAACCGCCUGAGCCACCAGAAUAGUAACCAAAAGCGCUACCUUCCUCGGAAGUAGCCUUCAGGUUACCAAAGACGUCC
Molecule: long non-coding RNA, 2651 nt
Organism: Rosa rugosa (rugosa rose)
Lineage: Eukaryota; Viridiplantae; Streptophyta; Magnoliopsida; Rosales; Rosaceae
Exons: 3
Source: RefSeq, a predicted model, not a curated record